ACGGCCGCGGUACCCUAACCGUGCAAAGGUAGCACAAUCACUUGUUCUUUAAAUCAGGACUAGUAUGAACGGCCUCACGAGGGCUAUGCUGUCUCCCCCCUCCAAUCAGUGAAACUGACCCCCCCGUGAAGAGGCGGGGAUAUUUUUAUAAGACGAGAAGACCCCAUGGAACUUUAAACUAGCACCACCACCACACACCACACCAUACUAACAAAAUGACAUGACUGCUAGUCUUUCGGCUGGGGCAGCCACGAGGAAUAAUAAAACCCCCGAGAUGAAAGGAAACCCCUUACCCAAGAACCACUAUUCAAAGAAUCAACAAAUGACAUUAUUGACCCAACAUUGACCAACGAACCAAGCUACCCUGGGGAUAACAGCGCAAUCCAUUUCAAGAGACCUCAUCAACAAAUGGGCUUACGACCUCGAUGUUGGAUCAGGGCAUCCUGGUGGUGCAGCCGCUACCAAAGGUUCGUUUGUUCAACGAUUAAAACCCU
RNAcentral lists this ribosomal RNA (494 nucleotides) under Stumpffia fusca. Its description in RNAcentral is "partial large subunit ribosomal RNA". It matches the Rfam family "Bacterial large subunit ribosomal RNA", at positions 1927 to 2597 of the family's 2925-position model. Lineage: Eukaryota; Metazoa; Chordata; Amphibia; Anura; Microhylidae. The record is from RNAcentral.